AUUGAACGCUGGCGGCAUGCCUUACACAUGCAAGUCGAACGGCAGCACGGACUUCGGUCUGGUGGCGAGUGGCGAACGGGUGAGUAAUGUAUCGGAACGUACCUUUCAGUGGGGGAUAACGUAGCGAAAGUUACGCUAAUACCGCAUAUUCUGUGAGCAGGAAAGCAGGGGAUCGAAAGACCUUGCGCUGAUUGAGCGGCCGAUAUCAGAUUAGCUAGUUGGUGGGGUAAAGGCCUACCAAGGCGACGAUCUGUAGCGGGUCUGAGAGGAUGAUCCGCCACACUGGAACUGAGACACGGUCCAGACUCCUACGGGAGGCAGCAGUGGGGAAUUUUGGACAAUGGGGGCAACCCUGAUCCAGCCAUGCCGCGUGAGUGAAGAAGGCCUUCGGGUUGUAAAGCUCUUUCGGCCGGGAAGAAAUCGCAUAGGCUAAUACCCUGUGUGGAUGACGGUACCGGAAUAAGAAGCACCGGCUAACCACGUG
RNAcentral lists this ribosomal RNA (484 nucleotides) under uncultured bacterium. Its description in RNAcentral is "partial 16S ribosomal RNA". It matches the Rfam family "Bacterial small subunit ribosomal RNA", at positions 30 to 507 of the family's 1533-position model. The record is from RNAcentral.